GACGAACGCUGGUGGCGUGCUUAACACAUGCAAGUCGAACGGUGAAAGGGAGCUUGCUCCCUGGAUCAGUGGCGAACGGGUGAGUAACACGUGGGCAACCUGCCCCAGACUUCGGGAUAACGCUUCGAAAGAGGUGCUAAUACCGGAUACGAACUCCUUGGGCAUCCUUGGAGUUGGAAAGUUUUUCGGUCUGGGAUGGGCCCGCGGCCUAUCAGCUUGUUGGUGAGGUAACGGCUCACCAAGGCGACGACGGGUAGCCGGCCUGAGAGGGCGACCGGCCACACUGGGACUGAGACACGGCCCAGACUCCUACGGGAGGCAGCAGUGGGGAAUAUUGCGCAAUGGGCGAAAGCCUGACGCGGCAACGCCGCGUGAGGGAUGACGGCCUUCGGGUUGUAAACCUCUUUCAGCAGGGAAGAAGCGAAAGUGACGGUACCUGCAGAAGAAGCACCGGCUAACUACGUGCCAGCCGCCGCCGUAA
Molecule: ribosomal RNA, 481 nt
Filed under: uncultured bacterium
Lineage: Bacteria
Description: partial 16S ribosomal RNA
Rfam family: Bacterial small subunit ribosomal RNA
Source: RNAcentral